Molecule: ribosomal RNA, 448 nt
Filed under: uncultured bacterium
Lineage: Bacteria
Description: bacterial SSU rRNA
Rfam family: Bacterial small subunit ribosomal RNA
Source: RNAcentral
UACGGAAGGCAGCAGUGGGGAAUAUUGCACAAUGGGCGCAAGCCUGAUGCAGCCAUGCCGCGUGUAUGAAGAAGGCCUUCGGGUUGUAAAGUACUUUCAGUCGUGAGGAAGGUGUUAAGGUUAAUAACCUUAGCAAUUGACGUUAGCGACAGAAGAAGCACCGGCUAACUCCGUGCCAGCAGCCGCGGUAAUACGGAAGGUGCGAGCGUUAAUCGGAAUUACUGGGCGUAAAGGGCACGCAGGCGGUUAAUUAAGUUGGAUGUGAAUCCCCGGGCUUAACCUGGGAAUGGCAUUCAAGACUGGUUAGCUAGAGUCUUGUAGAGGGGGUAGAAUUCCAUGUGUAGCGGUGAAAUGCGUAGAGAUGUGGAGGAAUACCGGUGGCGAAGGCGGCCCCUGGACAAAGACUGACGCUCAUGUGCGAAGCGUGGGGAGCAACAGGGAUUAGAUA